This 440-nucleotide ribosomal RNA is filed under the name uncultured bacterium. RNAcentral describes it as "partial 16S ribosomal RNA". It matches the Rfam family "Bacterial small subunit ribosomal RNA", at positions 338 to 795 of the family's 1533-position model. The record is from RNAcentral.
CCUACGGGUGGCAGCAGUAGGGAAUAUUGCUCAAUGGGGGAAACCCUGAAGCAGCAACGCCGCGUGGAGGAUGAAGGUUUUCGGAUUGUAAACUCCUUUUGUUAGAGAAGAUAAUGACGGUAUCUAACGAAUAAGCACCGGCUAACUCCGUGCCAGCAGCCGCGGUAAUACGGAGGGUGCAAGCGUUACUCGGAAUCACUGGGCGUAAAGAGCGCGUAGGCGGGAUAGCAAGGCAGAUGUGAAAUCCUAGGGCUUAACCAUAGAACUGCAUUUGAAACUGUUAUUCUAGAGUAUGGGAGAGGUAGGUGGAAUGCGUGGUGUAGGGGUAAAAUCCGUAGAGAUCAAGAGGAAUACUCAUUGCGAAGGCGACCUGCUAGAACAUAACUGACGCUGAUGCGCGAAAGCGUGGGGAGCAAACAGGAUUAGAUACCCCUGUAGUC